UGCUUUUGCUGAUCUGGGAUGGC
This 23-nucleotide non-coding RNA is filed under the name Rattus norvegicus (Norway rat). The record is from RNAcentral. Lineage: Eukaryota; Metazoa; Chordata; Mammalia; Rodentia; Muridae.